AGGUCGGUGGCCAUACGAUGCUACCCAUUCGCUGGAUGCCUCCAGAGAGCAUCAUGUACAGGAAAUUCACCACAGAGAGCGACGUCUGGAGCCUGGGAGUCGUAUUGUGGGAGAUCUUCACCUACGGCAAACAGCCCUGGUACCAGCUGUCAAAUAACGAGGUGAUAGAAUGCAUCACUCAGGGCCGAGUCCUGCAGCGACCCCGCACGUGCCCCCAGGAGGUGUAUGAGCUGAUGCUGGGGUGCUGGCAGCGAGAGCCCCACAUGAGAAAGAGCAUCAAGGGCAUCCACACCCUCCUUCAGAACUUGGCCAAGGCAUCUCCAGUCUACCUGGAUAUUCUAGGCUAAGGCCCUCACCCCCAGGCGGAUCCUUCCCAACGUACUCCUCAGACAGACAGGGCCGAGAGGAUGAAUAUCUUUUAACUGCCGCUGGAGGCCACCAAGUUGCUCUCCUUCACUCUGACAGUAUUAACAACAAAGACACCAAGACACACCGAGAAGCUCUCAGAGGGAAGCAGUGUGUACUUCUCCAUCCGUAGACACAGUGUUGACUUCUUUUUGGCAUCAUCUCUUUCUCUCUUUCCAUCUCCCUUGGUUUGUUUUAUAAUUUCUUUUCUUUUCUUUUUUUCUUUUCUGUUCUUCCCUGCUUCAAGUUCUUACCCUUCCUUUUUAAUCAAUCUGGCUUCUGCAUUACUAUUAACUCUGCAUAGACAAAGGCCUUAACAAACCUAAUUUGUUAUAUCAGCAGACACUCGAGUUUGCCCACCACAACUAACAAUGCCUUGUUGUAUUCCUGCCUUUGAUGUGGAUGAAAAAAAGGGAAAACAAAUAUUUGACUUAAACUUUGUCACUUCUGCUGUACAGACAUCGAGAGUUUCUAUGGAUUCACUUCUAUUUAUUUAUUAUUAUUACUGUUCUUAUUGUUUUUGAAUGGCUUAAGCCUGUGUAUAACAAGGAAAACUUGUGUUCAAUCUGGGAAACCUUUAUCUAUGGGAGAUUAAAACCAGAGAGAAAGAAGAUUUAUUAUAAACUGCAGUAUGGGAGGAAAAAAGACACCCAUUGGGAUCAGCUGGCGUCAGUUCCUGCUUAGGAGAAACCCAGCAUUGUUAGCUGGGAGGAAUGUAUUCGGCACCUUCCCCUGAGGACCUUUCUGAGGAGUAAAAAGACUGUUGAACUCUGCGCCAUGGACUAUUCUUUUCCCAUCACCAGGAAUACUAACAUGCAGUAGAAAGAAAAGUUGGCUUCCAUGAGACACAAGAUGGCUCCUCACAUACUCAGACACAGUCUUGUCUUUGUAGGCCGUGGUAAUAGCACUGGUUUGUUUUGCAAGUGUUAUCCACUGAACCUUUGUCAAGUUCAGUUGGAAAUCGAUGAAUUCAUGUCCAGAGAUCAUUUCAGGGUCAGGUGGGACGGCAAAGGACUUGGAAAAGAUAGGACAAGCUAUAAAUUCGGAGGCAAGUUUCUCUUAUGUUGAACUUUUCAGAUAGCAUUUUCCUCCAACUCUAACUUCGCUCCCACCCGUCCUUUUAACUGUGCAAGCAAAAUUGUGCAUGGUCUUCGUCGAUUAAUACCUUGUGUGCAGACACUACCGCUCCAGAUGUCGCGCCCCUGAUAGGUAGAACAGAUCCAUAAAAGGUAUGACUUAUACAAUUAAGGGAAGCUAAUGGAGCUUAUUAGCUGAGUAUCAAUGUCUCUGCAUUGUAUGGUGGUGAUGGGUUUUAAUGACUGUGGACCCUGAAGCCUGGAUAUCUUCAUCCACGUCGAACUCAUGGGACUGUGGGAAGGAGAGAAUCGAGUCCUCGGGGAAAAGAAACCUCUCCCUGAGGACAUCACAUGCGUUAAUGUUCAGUGUACACAGGCCAAGUCCUUUGCUCUGGGCUCUGGUUGGGAGAAUGGUUUCAUUCCAAGUGUACUCCACUGUCAGUAUGCUGUUUUGUUUUUGGUUUUUGGUUUUGGUUUUGUUUUUUUCACUCCAUUAAGAAAAAGUCAAAAUAAAAAAUUUGGCACAGCAUGCCAAUGCGAGGCUGUGCCCAGACCAAGCAUUGGAGAUGUGCUUUGGGGCAUAGUCACUGGUUUUGCAAAAAGAGGGUGUAAAUUUAAGUAGAAAUUUACAGUUAUUUGGAUGGUCAGAUUUACCAAGGAAGAAAAAUAUUUCUGUUCCUCAAGAAAACUUGCUACCCUCUGUGAGGGGAAUUUUUGCUAAACUUGACAUCUUUAUAACAUGAGCCAGAUUGAAAGGGAGUGAUUUUAAUUCCUCUUAGGUCAAGUUAUUUAUUUAUUUUUUUUAUUUUUCUGAAGGUGCAAUAGCUCUGUUUUAGGUUUUGCUUGCACCUGCUAAUUACUGGAACAUCUUGUUUUCCAUUAAAGGUUUUGAAAGCCAGUUCUCAAAAAUUCAAAAGUGUAAAUUAACAGAGAACAAAAGGAAAUCCAGUAGCAUCUGCAGUGAAGCAGGGGGUUGGACAAGAUGAACCUUACAGAUCCUUCAAAUUCAGCACUGGCCGAUGAGAGAUGUGAGUCAAGUUGUCUGUUCUCUUUGGUGGCGGAAAAAAAAAAAAACCCUCCAGAAUACAAAUAAUAAUAUAAUGAAAGCCAUAUCUCCAUGAUAUAUACACACACGUAUAUAUCAUAUUAAGGAACCAUGGUACUGUUAAAACACUGUGGAACUAUGGAAAACAGUAAGGAAGGGGCAGAUUUGUACAAAAACUUUUCUAGAUGCCAUGUGUGGCCAGCUGCUCUGGGGGACGAAGCUGCAAGUUAUUUAUUUUAUUUUAAGAGAGCAAAAGAGGGAAUACUUCUAGGGGCCAAAUUCAAGGAGGGCUGUGCAGUCUUAGAGCGAAGAUUUGUUUGAGGCAGAUGAGAAGAUGGGAGCAUUUCAUUACAGUUUUUAUGUUUUCCUCUGAAAGCAAAAAGCAAAAAACAAAAAAACAAAAUCUCCUUACACCUUUUGACAAGUCCCUCAAGGUCUUGAAAUGAAAGGUUCUAUGCAAGUGCAAAGUUUUAUAGUUAUUUAUAUUGCUGAUUAUUAUUAUUAUUACUCUUACUAUCUCUGUUGUCUCAAGAGUGUGUGCUAAUUUUCAGAGACGUCUCUCACUGAAAGAAUAUCGGAUUGCUUUUAAAGUAACCGAAUGAGCUACAAUAUAUCUUAAAACAUUCGUCGCUUUUUCCUUCACCACCCCCCUUUCUCAUGAUCUAAUUUUUAGAAAAGUAACAUCCUUGUUCUAAAAUAUAAUGGUCACCAAAUGCGGCCUGCCAUCAAACCUGUUAAAUACCACAACAGUAGCAGUGGCAAAUUCAAUUCUCUAGCUCAAAUACAGUCGGACAAUCAUUUCCAUCUAUAAAUUGUUUAAUAGUUUUCCAAACACUUUUCACAUGUGGUAGCAAAUUAUUCCUAUUUUUUAUAGGUGAGAAAACUGAGACUCAGAGAAGCUCCAAGUCACACUGGAAGUCUCCAAUCUAGCUUUCGGUACCACUGGGACUGAAUCCAAGUACUCUCACUCUGAACUUCAUGAUUCUGUGCACUAGAGACUCUAAUAUACAAACAAGCAGUUCAGGAAAGAAAGUAUGCUAACAAAUUCAUGAAGCAGGAUGCGAUGUUAGAAGAAGAAAUGGAAAUAGAUGAGAUGACAAGCAGCUGAGAUAUCGUGAUAUAUAAUCAUGCUCUUAGCUUCAGCUAAAUCCUUGUACACUGAACCAAUGUCAUAAUCAGGCUUCUUUAGAAAACACUUUGAACUAUGCUAUAAAAGAUUAUAUCUGAAUUCAUAUUAUACAUGUGUUCACAUCAGCGCUACCUGUGAUGUUUUCAUGUAUUUAUAUGUGUGUUAUAAAUACUUGAUUUAUACAUCUACAAAUGCACAGGCAUAGUGUGUUUGUGUGUUUAUGUAUAAAUUUAUAGGCAUACAAUAAUAGAGAUAAUUAAUUAUACGUAGGGUGCAGAAUGAAUAAUUUGCUUAAAAUCCGCUAAAUAACCAAAACUUUUUAAUGUCAUGUUGCUGUUAGUGCUUCCGUUCUCCAUGUGGGUAGGACUACAUCACACAUUAAACUCUAUGUAGUACUGCAUAGGUGGAAGACAUAUUGAAGAGAAUGUGCUUCCCUAAACAACCGAAUAAAAGCCAUCCCACUUUGUUGAGUCCUUUCUCUGGCUCCUUACAAAGGAAAAUGCAGACUGAAGUAGAUUACCUUAUGUCAAGGUCCAGGAAAGGGAAAUUGAUUUCUUUUGCCUUUCUGUACGUUUGUAUUAUGCUCACCUUGUCCUUGUCCCACUGUGAUCCCUUUACACUUAUGUUCGGAGUUCAAGCAUUCCAGAUGUAAACUGGAAUGUUGGGAGCCCAGUGUCUUGAAGACCAGUGGUGAGAAGUCCAAGACCUCACAGCGGGAUGAGUCACUCUUAGAAAUUUCCACAUCUGAGUAUGAAUGUACCAACCAACAAUUUAGAAUGCUGUCCGUUGCAGAGUAUCACGACAAGAGGAUUUCCUGGUCAAGGCUAGACUUUUAAUUUGUUUUGCCUUUCUUUUUGCAAAUUAGAUAGCCUAUAAUACCAAUAAUAUUAAAUUGUACCUAAUUAAAUGACUGUGUAUAUACACAUACCCUCGAUUCUCUUGCUCCCCCCCCUUUUUUUUAAUUUUUGUUUUUCUCCCAUUUGAAGACUUUUGUUUUCAGUGUUGACCUUUGGUUUGACCAUAUGUCAUCGUUACAGGAAAUCUCUGAGAGGAAUGAUUAGUGACCCCACUCCCCAAAUGUCUAAGUUAGCAGUUAAAGCCAAUUUCGCACGCAAAAUUGGAGUAUGGCGAUUCUGAGGUUGUGAUAGCUUGUACACGAAUUUCCAACAUUAAUCAAAAGAAUGAGGGGUGGGAGGGAUUUAGAGUUAAAAUGAUGGUGCAGGAAGGGGUAUUUUCUUGUUGUCAGGGUGGGAAUGAAUCACUGCUGCUCAAGUCAAAGGUUCUUGAAUAUCCUUAUUUUUGUACUUUUCCUCCUUCUUUUCCUUUGACCUUUAUUUAUUGAAUUAUGUAUUUAUUUAUUUAUUCAUAUAUUUUUGCUCCAUUCAUCACAAACACAAAGCAAAGCAAAAAAUAUAUAUAUGUAUAUGUGUUGCAAGCAAAACACUGUGAAUUUCAUAAUCACCACCAAGCAACUAUUUUGCCAUCUUAACAUACGUCUCAGGAGACGAAAUGGGAAAAGAUGGGGAUGUCAUUUUUCAGUCUAUGCGUUCAAGGCCAGGUCCAUGUUUAUUUUCUUUCUUUGGUCUAUGCAUUAAUGAAAAUGGUCCUGAGUGGAGGUUGGCUGAACGUUCAAUGUACUGGAGCAAGCCUCACAAAAGCUGCUAACAACCACGUGUUUGAGCAAGAAAAAAAAGUUGGAGAAAAUGUAAUCUAAAGGCCUACAUCUUGCAGCCUGUGUAUCUUACUACUGCUUAAAAAUGUAUAAAAUAGCUGGAAAUGUUUUCAAUACAAGGUUUUCAAAUUAAAUGUGGAUUUUAAAUAUGUAAUCCCUUGACAAAUGACCAAAUUAUGGUGAACUAUUGCUCCCUGCGUUCUUUGAUCAUUACCUAUGACUUACAAAUCUGCCUGGAGAUGUGGACACUCUGCAUUUGCUUCUGUAUCUGGAGAGAUGUUUGUAUAUAUCCGGGCCGUAUACACACAUAUUUCAAUAUCUCUCUGCGGAUCUAUUUCCCCUUCAAUUGUGACCUGGUAUUUGGAACUCUCUAUCUUUUCAUUUGGUUUAUUUUCCUUUUAAUGUGACGUCUCUGUGCCAAUACUUACCGGUUCUUGUUUUGCAAUCUGUUUUGAGUUCAUUGCUUUACUAAGACCCACUGCAUCUUGGCUGACUUCAAAGUGACACCUGAAUACAGUGUUAAAAAAAAAAAAGUUUUGUUUGUAAAUCAUGUGACCAGCUUCUCUCAACCUGACAUGGAAAGUCUCUUGUACUACAGUGUAUUUAAUAAAAAUGAUGUCUUACAAUAAAUAACAUCCUCCAAAAGAGAGACUAAAA
This is a long non-coding RNA of Carlito syrichta (Philippine tarsier), 5984 nucleotides long. RefSeq lists it as uncharacterized. NCBI's taxonomy places the organism in Eukaryota, Metazoa, Chordata, Mammalia, Primates, Tarsiidae. The transcript has 2 exons. The record is from RefSeq and is a predicted model, not a curated record.